This 433-nucleotide ribosomal RNA is filed under the name uncultured bacterium. RNAcentral's name for it is "partial 16S ribosomal RNA". It matches the Rfam family "Bacterial small subunit ribosomal RNA", at positions 29 to 507 of the family's 1533-position model. The record is from RNAcentral.
AACGAACGCUGGCGGCAUGCCUAACACAUGCAAGUCGAACGAGACCUUCGGGUCUAGUGGCGCACGGGUGCGUAACGCGUGGGAACCUGCCCUUAGGUUCGGAAUAACUCCCCGAAAGGGGUGCUAAUACCGGAUAAUGUCUUCGAACCAAAGAUUUAUCGCCUUGGGAUGGGCCCGCGUUGGAUUAGCUAGUUGGUAGGGUAAAAGCCUACCAAGGCGACGAUCCAUAGCUGGUCUGAGAGGAUGAUCAGCCACACUGGGACUGAGACACGGCCCAGACUCCUACGGGAGGCAGCAGUGGGGAAUAGUGGACAAUGGGCGAAAGCCUGAUCCAGCUAUGCCGCGUGAGUGAUGAAGGCCUUAGGGUUGUAAAGCUCUUUUACCCGGGAUGAUAAUGACAGUACCGGGAGAAUAAGCUCCGGCUAACUCCGUG